This 239-nucleotide ribosomal RNA is filed under the name uncultured bacterium. RNAcentral describes it as "partial 16S ribosomal RNA". It matches the Rfam family "Bacterial small subunit ribosomal RNA", at positions 15 to 221 of the family's 1533-position model. The record is from RNAcentral.
GAUCCUGGCUCAGGUUGAACGCUGGCGGCGUGCCUAAUACAUGCAAGUCGAACGCUUUGUGGUUCAACUGAUUUGAAGAGCUUGCUCAGAUAUGACGAUGGACAUUGCAAAGAGUGGCGAACGGGUGAGUAACACGUGGGAAACCUACCUCUUAGCAGGGGAUAACAUUUGGAAACAGGUGCUAAUACCGUAUAACAAUGACAACCGCAUGGUUGUUAUUUAAAAGAUGGUUCUGCUAU